AUUGCUUCUGCACCUUUUGGCUAAGAUCAAGUGUAAUAUCUGUUCUUAUCAGUAAAAUAGAAAUUAGAGUAGCCUUUACUCUAAUCUUGCUUUUUAUUUUUUAAUUUCAUCCCCUGGGUACCAACUCUAAUGUAGGGAACUACUGCCAUCUUUCAAGGUUGGUAAAAACCUA
Small nuclear RNA from Oryctolagus cuniculus (rabbit), 172 nucleotides. Its record names the gene U2. It matches the Rfam family "U2 spliceosomal RNA". From Rfam's summary of the family: U2 is a small nuclear RNA (snRNA) component of the spliceosome (involved in pre-mRNA splicing). Complementary binding between U2 snRNA (in an area lying towards the 5' end but 3' to hairpin I) and the branchpoint sequence (BPS) of the intron results the bulging out of an unpaired adenosine, on the BPS, which initiates a nucleophilic attack at the intronic 5' splice site, thus starting the first of two transesterification reactions that mediate splicing. The record is from Ensembl. NCBI's taxonomy places the organism in Eukaryota, Metazoa, Chordata, Mammalia, Lagomorpha, Leporidae.